Molecule: non-coding RNA, 765 nt
Filed under: Trigomphus carus
Lineage: Eukaryota; Metazoa; Arthropoda; Insecta; Odonata; Gomphidae
Source: RNAcentral
UAAAAGUUUUAUUCUUGCUUGUUAUUCAUUUUAUGAUUAUUUUACAUGUAAGUUUUAAUUUAUUAUUAAUCUAAAUGAUUAAUUAUGUAUUUAGGCAGUAAUAUGUAUUAUUUUUUAAAGUAAUUUAGAAAUAGUAAUUCAUAAAUUUCUGGUUAAAGCCGUGCCAGCCACCGCGGUUAUACGGGAAGAAAAAGUGAAUAUUAUUAGUUUAUUAGUUAAUAUUAUUAAUUUAUAAAAAUGAUAAUUUUUAGGUGAAAUUUUAAUUGUUAAUUAUUUAUAUUAUAUGAAGCUAUGAAAUUUAUUUUAAAAACAAGGAUUAGAUACCCUUUUAUUAUAAAUGUAAAUGUUGAACUAGGGUAUUAAUAGUUAUGUUCUUGAAACCCAAAGAAUUUGGCGGUAUUUUAGUCCUUUCAGAGGAAUCUGUCCCGUAAUCGACAACCCACGAGAUAUAUUACUUAUUUUUGUUUUCAGUUUGUAUACCUCCGUCAUAAGAGAAUCUUAUUAGAGUUUAAUUUUCUUAAUAUAUAAAGUUUAAUAUGUCAGGUCAAGGUGCAAUUUAUAAAUAAGUGGAGAUGGAUUACAAUAAAUUUAUUUAAACGGAGUAAAUUAUUAAUUUUUUUAUGAAGGUGGAUUUGAUAGUAAUUUUAAUUAUUUAUUAUUAUGAUUUAUGGCUCUAAAAUAUGCACACAUCGCCCGUCGCUCUCAUUAUGAAGAUGAGAUAAGUCGUAACAUAGUAGGUGUAUCGGAAGAUGUACCUAGUAAGUA